Molecule: non-coding RNA, 482 nt
Organism: Danio rerio (zebrafish)
Lineage: Eukaryota; Metazoa; Chordata; Actinopteri; Cypriniformes; Danionidae
Source: Ensembl
AAUAAACUGUUUGAUUCACAUAUCAGUUUUUGUUGCCUUCCUGGAGCUCCUGCUUACUGAGGAAACACACAGACGGUCUGCCAUUUAUCCCAACAACUUGGUGACCCCGACGUGAUAAAGCUGAUCAGACUACUUCUACUGAUAAUCCUACUGGGACUGACACAGGCCCACACUGAAGUGCACAACUUAUUCUGGCAGUAUGCCAACUGGACUGCACGACAGACAACCAAUGAGUCAUGUGUUGUCUGCCAAGAAGUGUUCUCCUCCGCUGUGACUAUAUCCUUGAAACCUUUGCCUUUUACAUGUACUAAACUUGCUUUUUGUACAAAUGCUUUGGGAGAUAUUUAUGAGUGGCGCCCCACAUGUGUAUCUAACAAGAAAACAUGGGAGCCCUUUUGCAGAUCAACUAGCAGAAAGAAUCAUUCUGUUGUAAUACCUACACCUAGAAAUAUGGGUUUGAAUAUUUUGUUGACAAAACCCCA